This 1263-nucleotide unclassified non-coding RNA is filed under the name Hevea brasiliensis (rubber tree). Lineage: Eukaryota; Viridiplantae; Streptophyta; Magnoliopsida; Malpighiales; Euphorbiaceae. The record is from RNAcentral.
AUCUCCAUUCUUACACAUCUACCUUACCUUAGGCAAUUUCCUCCCAUCACUCUCCCACCGACACCUUUCUUUUUUUCUUUCUUCAUAAACCCACCAUCAGAUCUUUCUCUAAAUCUCCAUUUUUUCAACACCCAAAUCCUCAUUUUUACCCCCCUUUUCUACAACCCCAACAAUGAAAUCAAUGUCAAAACUUGCCCUUUUUGUCUAAAACUAUCCAAGAUUUGAUUUUUCAUCAUAAAGAUUUGAUUUUUAUUCCAUUUCAGCUUGUGGGUAUUGAGGGAAAAGAUGUUAGAUCGAUUUCUGAGUGCUCGUAGAGCAUGGCAAGUCAGGAGAAUUAUGAGAAAUGGGAAGCUUACGUUCUUGUGUUUGUUUCUUACCGUUAUUGUCCUUAGAGGGAAUUUGGGAGCUGGAAGAUUUGGUACUCCUGGCCAGGAUUUGAAGGAAAUUCGUGAAACAUUUAGCUAUUACAGGAAGCGCGUGGAGCCCAGACGCGUUCUUGAAGAAGCACAACAGGUAUCAUCUUCAAGCACUGUAAGUGAUGGUGGUGCAUCAUCAUCAGAUAGUAAUAAUUAUGCUACUUUUGAUUUAAAGAAGAUUUUAGUUGAUGAGGAUGAUGGUGAGCCUGAGUUUAAGAGAGAUCCAAAUCAACCUUAUGCUCUUGGUCCAAAGAUAAUAGAUUGGGAUGAGCAAAGAGGGGAGUGGUUGAAAAAAAAUCCUAAUUUUCCUAAUUUUGUUGGAACAAAUAAGCCAAGGGUGUUGUUGGUUACUGGUUCAUCUCCUAAGCCAUGUGAGAAUCCAGUUGGUGAUCAUUACUUGUUGAAGUCAAUAAAGAAUAAGAUUGAUUAUUGUAGGCUUCAUGGGAUUGAGAUUUUUUAUAAUAUGGCUUUGCUUGAUGCUGAAAUGGCUGGUUUUUGGGCUAAAUUGCCUUUGCUUAGGAAGCUUUUGCUAUCACAUCCUGAGGUUGAGUUUUUGUGGUGGAUGGAUAGUGAUGCUAUGUUUACUGAUAUGGCUUUUGAGCUUCCAUGGGAGAGGUAUAAAGAUGCUAAUCUUGUGAUGCAUGGAUGGAAUGAGAUGGUUUAUGAUCAGAAGAAUUGGAUUGGUUUGAAUACUGGUAGCUUCUUAUUGAGGAAUACUCAAUGGGCAUUGGAUUUACUUGAUGUGUUGGCACCUAUGGGACCAAAGGGAAAGGUAAGGGAGGAAGCCGGGGCGCUUCUUACUCGGGAGCUUAAAGAUAGACCAGUUUUUGAAGCUGAUGAUCAGUCU